Molecule: non-coding RNA, 1044 nt
Organism: Acinonyx jubatus (cheetah)
Lineage: Eukaryota; Metazoa; Chordata; Mammalia; Carnivora; Felidae
Source: the annotation of a RefSeq genome assembly
GGGCUUGAACUCACAGACCGCGAGAUCGUGACCUGGCUGAAGUCGGAUGCUUAACCGACUGCGCCACCCAGGCGCCCCCAUUAACUGACUUUUAAAUGCUGAACCAGCCUUGUAUGCCUGGGAUAAAUCCCACUUGGUUGUGGUGUAUAAUUCUUUUAAUACAUUCUUGUAUUCAAUUGGCAAAUAUUUUGUUGAAGAUUUUUGCAUCUAUAUUAAUAAGAGAUAUUGUUCUGUAGUUUUCUUUUCUUAUAAUGUCACUGUCUGGUGUUGGUAUUAGGGUAAUGCUAGCCUCAUAGAAUGACUGAGAUUGGUAAAAUUUUAUGCUAUGUAUGUUUUACCACACAUACACAGAAAGAAAGAAAGAAAGAAAGAAAGAAAGAAAAAGAAAAAAAGAGGAAAAUGGCACUACACACAACAGGACAGAUGGAGAGAUAAAUAUUACACUUUAAAAAGGUUCCUGUUCUGGCCUGGCCCCCACGGGGCAGGCCCCAGGUGCUGGCCCGGUGGGUUUUGGUCCGAAACUCAAUCACCCUGGCUUGUUUUCAGUGAAGGAACCCAGCUCACCGUCCUAGGUCAGCCCACGUCCGCACCCUUGGUCAUGCUCUUCCUACCCUUCUCUGAGGAGCUCAGAGCCAACAAGGCCAUCCUGGUGUGCCUCAUCAGUGACUUCUACCCUGGCAACUUGACGGUGACCUGGAAGGCAGAAGGGACCCCUGUCACCCAGGGCGUGGAGACCACCAAGCCUUUCAAACAGAGCAACAACAAGUAUGUGGCCAGCAGCUACCUGAGUCUGUCACCUGACAAGUGGAAAUCUUAUAGCAAUUUUACCUGCCAGGUCACACACGAGGGGAGCACCGUGGAGAAGAGAGUGGUGCCCUCAGAGUGCUCUUAGGUGCCUGAGACCCCCACUCACCCAAGAGGAUGUGCAGCCAAUGGACCUCCAGGAAGGUCUCUCCUCCCACCAGGAUCAUCCCAGCCCUUCUCCCUGCACCCAAUCAAUGCUCAAUAAAAAGUCCUUCAUUCAAUCAGAAAUCGUGUUCUCAU